CACAUGGCCCUCACACACCUUAAAGAUGCUUAUCUCCUCCAUCUGCACAACCAUCUAUGGAUGGACAAACCUCGUAAGGCACGCUACUGCAUGUACAGAUGUGGAAACAUUUUACAGAUGUGAAAACAGAGGCGCAGAGAGAAAGUGACUCGGUAGUACACUUCUUUCGGGACAUCUAUCAAUCUUAAAACCUCCUGGCUGGGUGUAGUGCUCAUGAUUGUAAUCCCAGCACUUAGGGAGGCCAAGGCGGGAGGAUCACUUGAGGUCAGGAGUUUGCGACCAGCCUGGCAAGCAUAGCGAAACCUCUCUCCACUAAAAAUACAAAAAUUGGCCAAGCACAGUGGCUCAUACCUGUAAUCCCAGCACUUUGGGAGGCCGAGGCUGGUGGAUCAUUUGAGAUCAGGAGUUUGAGACUAGCCUGGCCAACAGGGUGAAACUCUGUCUCUACCAAAAAAAAAAAAAAAAGUAGCCAGGCAUGGUGGCACUAAUCCCAGCUACUCGAGAGGCUGAGGCAGGAGAAUCACUUGAACCUGGGAGGCGGAGGUUGCGGUGAGCCAAGAUUGCACUACUGCACUCCGGCCUGGGCAACAGAGCGAGACUCUGUCUAAAAAAAAAAAAAAAAUUAGCUGGGCACAGUGGUACACUCCUGUAGUCCCAGCUACUCAGGAGGCUGAGACAAGAGAAUUGCUUGAACCCAGGAGGCGGAGGCAGCAGUGAGACAAAAUUGUGACACUGCAUUCCAGUCUGGGCGACAGAGCAAGACUCUGUCUCAAAAAAAAAAAAACAAGACAAGACAAAAAAAAAACCUUCCCUUUCUCUGAGAACUUUCUUCAAACCCAUGGGUAAAGGAUCCAAUAUCCAUGUUUCUACUACAUGAGGUAUUGCAAGCUCCUGCAAACAGUUCUUGGCUUGGAGGUGACCAUGUAGCCCAAUUCAGGAUUACUGAGAGGCAGUCUGGAGCUGUGGCAGCCAUCUUGCCCCCGUGAGGGGAGAGCCUGCUUGAGAAUGGAGCCAAUAUGGAGGAAGGCAGAGAGAGAGAGAGAACGAUGGCGGGAGAUCAGACCCUGCCUACGGGAUCCAGCUACAUGUCUGGCCUUCUCAGUUCCAGAAACCAAUGCAUUUCCUGUUGGAUUUCUGUCUCUUAUACCCUCAAUGAUCCACCCUUAACUAGACAGCCUCCUACCCUACAGUAGCCAUCUACAUGCCUUUCUCCAAAAUCAUGACUCCUCCAAGAAAAAGCCCAUCUCAGACAACCAAGACCAUGGCUCUUAGGAUCCCACCGAGCUGUACCUCAAAGAUCUCAAAUCCAGCUAUAUCCAGGAUCCCCAGGAAGGAAGCCCCUUGCCGAUGGGUCUUGUCCAGGGCUUUGUUCACGCGGGUGAGUAUCCAGCGGAAAAGGCGCUCAUAUGUUGCCUUGGCCAAAGCCUCUACAGCAAAGUCAGCCUGCAGAGGGCAACCAGGGGAACCCGGUUAUUCUCAAUGGGCUCCAUUUUCACAUAAGCCAGGCUGGUGGUGAAGAUUUUUAUUCUUGGCCGGGUGCAGUGACUCACACUGUAAUCCCAGCACUUUGGGAGGCCGAGGCAGGUGGGUCACUUGAGGUCGGGAGUUCAAGACCAGCCUGACCAACAAGGCAAAAACCCUUCUCUACUAAAAAUACAAAAAUUAGCCAGGCGUUGUGGUGCAUGCCUGUAGUCCCAGCUGCUUGGGGGACUGAGGCAGGAGAAUCGUUUGAAUCUGGGAGGCAGAGGCUACAGUGAGCUGCGAUGGCACCACUGCACCCCCCCCUGGGCAACAGAGCAAGGCUCUGGCUCAAAAACAAAAAACAAACAAACAAACAAAACCUGACAUGGGACUGUGAAUAUUCUAGUAUUGAAUAAAUGAGGGAUAAAGAGAUGGAUGGGUGGAUGCAUGGACAGAUGAAUGAAUGAAUGAAUGAAUGGAAUGACAGCUGGAUGGGUGAUGGAUGGACGGACAGAUGGACAGAUGGCUGGGUCAUGGAUGGAUGGACAGAUGGAUGAGUGAGGGAUGGAGAGAUGAUGGGUGAGCAGAUAGAUGGGCAGAUGAAUGGAUGGAUGGAUGGAUGGAUGAACAGACAGAUGAAUGAGUGGGUAGAAAGAUGGAUGGAUGGACAGAUGCAGAGGCAGACCAUGGGUGAAUGGAUUAAUGAAUACAUGAAUGAGUGAACAGGUGGAUAGAUGGAUGAAUGGAUGGAUGGGUGGGUGCAUGGAUGGAUAAGUGAUAAGUACAUCAUUACCUGUUCUUUUGUCUGAGCUUUCUGUACCACAUCUCGCCCAACCUUGAUACGAGGAGUGAGGAUGGAUCUGGUGAAAUCUGUCACAUUAAUUCCCAUGAGGUGGCAAACUUUCUGAGCAGCUGGAUGGAGAAAAGAAACAUCACACAAAUACCGAACAAAAGAGGACAGAUGGAAACAAGAACAUACUGUCUAAGUCCAUAUAUAGACCGUCCAUUCAAGAAGAGGCAAAACUAAUCGAUGCUGUUAGAAGUCAGGAUAAUGAUUAUCCUUAAUUGAGGGAAGUUCUUAGAAGGUGCAUGUGGGAGCUUCCAUGGGGCUGGUGGCAUUGUCUUAUUUAAAAUGGAUUCUAGUUACACAGACGUGUUCAGUUUAUAAUAAUUCUUUGCACUGCACGCUAUGGCAUACACAAUUUUCUC
RNAcentral lists this long non-coding RNA (2670 nucleotides) under Homo sapiens (human). RNAcentral's name for it is "HSALNT0228153". Lineage: Eukaryota; Metazoa; Chordata; Mammalia; Primates; Hominidae. The record is from RNAcentral.